Molecule: ribosomal RNA, 475 nt
Filed under: uncultured bacterium
Lineage: Bacteria
Description: bacterial SSU rRNA
Rfam family: Bacterial small subunit ribosomal RNA
Source: RNAcentral
ACGCUGGCGGCGUGCUUAACACAUGCAAGUCGAACGAGAAUCUGCGGAAAGAGGAUUCGUCCAAUUGAAGCAGAGGACAGUGGCGGACGGGUGAGUAACGCGUGAGGAACCUGCCUUUCAGAGGGGGACAACAGUUGGAAACGACUGCUAAUACCGCAUAACAUAUAGAUGUCGCAUGGCAUUUAUAUCAAAGAUUUAUCGCUGAAAGAUGGCCUCGCGUCUGAUUAGCUAGUUGGUGAGGUAACGGCCCACCAAGGCGACGAUCAGUAGCCGGACUGAGAGGUUGAACGGCCACAUUGGGACUGAGAUACGGCCCAGACUCCUACGGGAGGCAGCAGUGGGGAAUAUUGGGCAAUGGGCGCAAGCCUGACCCAGCAACGCCGCGUGAAGGAAGAAGGCUUUCGGGUUGUAAACUUCUUUUGUCAGGGACGAGUAGAAGACGGUACCUGACGAAUAAGCCACGGCUAACUACGUG